Molecule: ribosomal RNA, 733 nt
Filed under: Bacteroides ovatus
Lineage: Bacteria; Pseudomonadati; Bacteroidota; Bacteroidia; Bacteroidales; Bacteroidaceae
Description: partial 23S ribosomal RNA
Rfam family: Bacterial large subunit ribosomal RNA
Source: RNAcentral
AAAGAAAGUAAGCAAGGGCGCAUGGCGGAUGCCUUGGCUCUCGGAGGCGAUGAAGGACGUGAUAAGCUGCGAUAAGCUUCGGGCAGGUGCAAAUAACCUUUGAUCCGAAGAUUUCCGAAUGGGACAACCCGUCAUUCUGAAGGAAUGACAUCUUGCAUAGCAAGAGGCUAACGCAGGGAACUGAAACAUCUUAGUACCUGUAGGAAAAGAAAAUAAUAAUGAUUCCCCUAGUAGUGGCGAGCGAACGGGGAUUAGCCCAAACCAAUGUUGUUACGGCAAUAUUGGGGUUGUAGGACCACGAUGUCGCAAGAAAUUUAGUGAGAAGAACCCUUUGGAAAAUGGGACCAUAGACGGUGAUAGUCCGGUAUUCGAAGCUAAAUGAAGCGUAGUGGUAUCCUGAGUAGCGCGGGACACGAGGAAUCUUGCGUGAAUCUGCCGGGACCAUCCGGUAAGGCUAAAUACUCCCGAGAGACCGAUAGCGAACCAGUACUGUGAAGGAAAGGUGAAAAGCACUUCGAAUAGAAGAGUGAAAUAGUCCCUGAAACCGUGCGCCUACAAGCGGUCGGAGCUGCUUCAGCAGUGACGGCGUGCCUUUUGCAUAAUGAACCUACGAGUUACUUUUUCCGGCAAGGUUAAGGAUCUUGAGAUCCGCAGCCGAAGCGAAAGCGAGUCUUAACAGGGCGAUUAGUCGGAAGGAGUAGACGCGAAACCAAGUGAUCUACCCUUGGUCAGG